Molecule: ribosomal RNA, 254 nt
Filed under: uncultured bacterium
Lineage: Bacteria
Description: partial 16S ribosomal RNA
Rfam family: Bacterial small subunit ribosomal RNA
Source: RNAcentral
UACGUAGGGGGCGAGCGUUGUCCGGAUUUAUUGGGCGUAAAAGGCUUGUAGGUGGCCACGUCAAGUCGGAUGUGAAAUCUCCCGGCUCAACUGGGAGGGGUCAUUCGAUACUGGCGGGCUCGAGGCCGGUAGGGGGAAGCGGAAUUCCCGGUGUAGUGGUGGAAUGCGUAGAUAUCGUAAGGAAGACCAGUGGCGAAGGCGGGUCUCUGGACAGUUCCUGACGCUGAGGCACGAAGGUCAGGGGAGCAAACGGG